UGGGGAAUUUUGGACAAUGGGCGAAAGCCUGAUCCAGCAAUGCCGCGUGUGUGAAGAAGGCCUUCGGGUUGUAAAGCACUUUUGUCCGGAAAGAAAUCCUUGGCUCUAAUACAGUCGGGGGGUGACGGUACCGGAAGAAUAAGCACCGGCUAACUACGUGCCAGCAGCCGCGGUAAUACGUAGGGUGCAAGCGUUAAUCGGAAUUACUGGGCGUAAAGCGUGCGCAGGCGGUUUGCUAAGACCGAUGUGAAAUCCCCGGGCUCAACCUGGGAACUGCAUUGGUGACUGGCAGGCUAGAGUAUGGCAGAGGGGGGUAGAAUUCCACGUGUAGCAGUGAAAUGCGUAGAGAUGUGGAGGAAUACCGAUGGCGAAGGCAGCCCCCUGGGCCAAUACUGACGCUCAUGCACGAAAACGUGGGGGAGCAAACAGGAUUAGAUACCCUGGUAGUCCACGCCCUAAACGAUGUCAACUAGUUGUUGGGGAUUCAUUUCCUUAGUAACGUAGCUAACGCGUGAAGUUGACCGCCUGGGGAGUACGGUCGCAGGAUUAAAACUCAAAGGAAUUGACGGGGUCAUAGCUGUUUCCU
Molecule: ribosomal RNA, 586 nt
Filed under: uncultured bacterium
Lineage: Bacteria
Description: partial 16S ribosomal RNA
Rfam family: Bacterial small subunit ribosomal RNA
Source: RNAcentral